UGGGGAAUAUUGGACAAUGGGCGAAAGCCUGAUCCAGCCAUGCCGCGUGUGUGAAGAAGGUCUUCGGAUUGUAAAGCACUUUAAGUUGGGAGGAAGGGCAGUAAGCGAAUACCUUGCUGUUUUGACGUUACCGACAGAAUAAGCACCGGCUAACUCUGUGCCAGCAGCCGCGGUAAUACAGAGGGUGCAAGCGUUAAUCGGAAUUACUGGGCGUAAAGCGCGCGUAGGUGGUUCGUUAAGUUGAAUGUGAAAGCCCCGGGCUCAACCUGGGAACUGCAUCCAAAACUGGCGAGCUAGAGUAGGGCAGAGGGUGGUGGAAUUUCCUGUGUAGCGGUGAAAUGCGUAGAGAGCUGGAGGAAUACCGAUGGCGAAGGCAGCCAUCUGGCCUAACACUGACGCUGAGGUACGAAAGCAUGGGGAGCAAACAGG
RNAcentral lists this ribosomal RNA (429 nucleotides) under Pseudomonadota bacterium. Its description in RNAcentral is "Proteobacteria bacterium partial 16S ribosomal RNA". It matches the Rfam family "Bacterial small subunit ribosomal RNA", at positions 355 to 776 of the family's 1533-position model. Lineage: Bacteria; Pseudomonadati; Pseudomonadota. The record is from RNAcentral.